Molecule: transfer RNA, 67 nt
Filed under: Zemeros flegyas
Lineage: Eukaryota; Metazoa; Arthropoda; Insecta; Lepidoptera; Riodinidae
Description: tRNA-His
Source: RNAcentral
ACUUAAAUAAUUUAAAUAAAAUAUUGAUCUGUGGAGUCAAAAAUAAGAUGUUAUAUCUUUUUAAGUA